RNAcentral lists this long non-coding RNA (223 nucleotides) under Carica papaya (papaya). Its description in RNAcentral is "long non-coding RNA (CPAP_LNC005205)". The record is from RNAcentral. Lineage: Eukaryota; Viridiplantae; Streptophyta; Magnoliopsida; Brassicales; Caricaceae.
CAACCAAAAUUAGCCUAAACCAGCCAAAAAUAGCCAGGUCGAGAGGAACCGCCACCGCAGGCGGUGGAACUGGCGCCGAAGCAUCGCGACACCACAUGUCAGAACCCUAAAUUGGUCAUAAAACUUUAAAAUGUCUAUUUUGACUUUUUGAGAUAUUUUUAGAUACAUGACGAGUAUUUUAAUUUCUGCAUGAAAAAUUUUAAAAAUUCAGAGACCGCCAUGA